Cynoglossus semilaevis (tongue sole) is the source of this 1406-nucleotide long non-coding RNA. RefSeq lists it as uncharacterized. NCBI's taxonomy places the organism in Eukaryota, Metazoa, Chordata, Actinopteri, Pleuronectiformes, Cynoglossidae. The transcript has 3 exons. The record is from RefSeq and is a predicted model, not a curated record.
ACAAUAAAUGACUUUAAACACAACUAUUUUCUUUGACCAAACCUUCUGUGUUUGACAGCAGUGCUCUGUUAUUCCAGACUCUACAGCUUUAUUUUUACGUAACCUCCAACAAAACAACUUAGAGAAAGUGAACACUGCUACUGUAUUCACUCAUAGUGCAAAGUUCAAUCAAACCACAAAGCAUCAUGGGAAAUGAUCCUGCUGUUCUCCAACAUGCUGCAGUAUUGUUGUAUCAGUCCCUGUGAGGUUAUUCUGGAGAAUAUUCUAGAUUAUGUGUGUCCUUGUUUUGAUUGUUGACAACAAUAAACAGACGUGUGUUUAAAACAAAGAUAUUUGUUGACAACCAUGUUUAUAAGAGGAUUAAGAAUUGGAACAAUAUGGAGGUACAUUAGGAAAAGAUAAACUGUGAUUAAUUGUGGUUAAAUAUUUUUGACAGACCUAAUUAGAGUGUUGUUCUAGAAACAUCUAAACAUUUGUUUCCUGUGGUUUUAUUCCUAACGUGUAGAUUUUGUUGCUGUUCAAAUCAGUUAAGUUGGAGACAAACCUUUACUGUCCUGUAACUCCUCAUCCUGUCAGAAUGGUUCAACAGUUCCACUGAAAGUUAAAGGUUGGCGCUAAUCAAUCAGAAUUUACCUUUAUUUACCCAGAAACAAUAACAGUUUUUUCCAGGAGUCUGGAGAGAACAGCAAAUGUUGAAAAAAAUUCUCGUGUAAAACAGAAACAAAAAUAACAUUCAGUGACAGAUAAAAAAAGACGUCUAGAUUUUCAACUCAACUCCUCCUCCCCGAGCUUCCCGCCACUCCCAUAUGACGUUUCCGACGUCAUUGAAAACCACAGCAAAAGGUACAGAACGAAGAACUUACUUGGGGAGACUGAAGUCCAGAAAAUGAGUGAAUUUAUGGAGAAAGAACACAAGUCAGAGUCUCCAGAACCCAGCUGUCUGUCUGUGAAGACUGACUGGUCCAUACAGUUCUUUCCAGACUUCAGUGAUGAACCCAGACAACCAGACACACGAGAUCACAACCAGAGACAGAGACCAGAGUCCCCAGGACCCAGCUGUCUGUCUGUGAGGACUGACCGGUCCAGAAGUUUACCUCCAGACUUCAGUCAUGAACCCAGACCCUCAGACUGCAGUAUGUAGAAAACCAUAAUAUCAUCUUAAACCACACACUGACACAUGUUCUCUCAGGCUGUGGUUCUGUUUCUCCACUGAAACAGAAUCUUCUCCUGAUCAAUAACUGGUUAAUUUUCAAAUCCAUCUCAUCUCUUUGUAACUAACAAAAUGAAGAGACAAAGGUUUGAAUUCACUGUCAUCUUCAUCUUCUAGUCAACAAGAAGCUUCUCACUAAUGUCCACUCUUGUACUGUUUCUCUGUCCCUGUGCUGUCUGUCCAAACACACUGUCUU